This 518-nucleotide long non-coding RNA is filed under the name Capra hircus (goat). RNAcentral's name for it is "lncRNA (ENSCHIG00000001934.1)". The record is from RNAcentral. Lineage: Eukaryota; Metazoa; Chordata; Mammalia; Artiodactyla; Bovidae.
CUGCAAAGUAGGAGGGGUUUCCUCUAAGAGGGGGAAAUUCAGCUCUUAGAUGGGGGAAAAUGAAAAAAAAAAUCAGAAAUAUAUAUAUUUUUUAUGUUGGAGGCAUUUCUGCUGCUCCUUGGCAGGAAAGAAAGAAGGAGAAUGUUGACGGGUAUUCUUUCUUCCAAAGUGCACUGUGUAUAGGAAGGCCUCUCCAUGCUCCGUGUUCCUUCUCUUGUUCCUGGAAGGGCAACUCCUCAACACUUCUGCCUUCCAACCAGCUGGGCAGAAGAGGAAGACCUUGGACCCUCCUUCAGGACUGGGAAGCACCCAGGGGCACCUUACGCGAGGAGGGUUGUGGUCCUGGAGGGGAGAAGAUGCUUCUUGGAAGAGACUUUCCUGUUCUGGCCAGGCUGCUGCUCCUCCUCAGCCCUCAGGUCCCUCAGGGGCAGUGCUGGUCUUUGAUGGGCUGUUCCUGGCACUUCAGGUGGUUCUCCCUGACUUCCCGCCACACCUCCCUCCCACAGCUCUCCUCCUGA